RNAcentral lists this ribosomal RNA (424 nucleotides) under uncultured prokaryote. RNAcentral describes it as "bacterial SSU rRNA". It matches the Rfam family "Bacterial small subunit ribosomal RNA", at positions 355 to 796 of the family's 1533-position model. The record is from RNAcentral.
UGGGGAAUCUUAGACAAUGGGGGAAACCCUGAUCUAGCCAUGCCGCGUGAGUGACGAAGGCCCUAGGGUCGUAAAGCUCUUUCGCCGGGGAAGAUAAUGACGGUACCCGGUAAAGAAGUCCCGGCUAACUCCGUGCCAGCAGCCGCGGUAAUACGGAGGGGACUAGCGUUGUUCGGAAUUACUGGGCGUAAAGCGCGCGUAGGCGGACUGUUAAGUCAGGGGUGAAAUCCCGGGGCUCAACCCCGGAACUGCCCUUGAUACUGGCAGUCUUGAGUUCGAGAGAGGUGAGUGGAAUUCCGAGUGUAGAGGUGAAAUUCGUAGAUAUUCGGAGGAACACCAGUGGCGAAGGCGGCUCACUGGCUCGAUACUGACGCUGAGGUGCGAAAGCGUGGGGAGCAAACAGGAUUAGAUACCCCCGUAGUCC